GAUGAACGCUGGCGGCGUGCCUAAUACAUGCAAGUAGAACGCUGAAGCUUGGUGCUUGCACCGAGCGGAUGAGUUGCGAACGGGUGAGUAACGCGUAGGUAACCUGCCUCUUAGCGGGGGAUAACUAUUGGAAACGAUAGCUAAUACCGCAUAAAAGUCGAUAUCGCAUGAUAUUGAUUUGAAAGGUGCAAAUGCAUCACUAAGAGAUGGACCUGCGUUGUAUUAGCUAGUUGGUGAGGUAACGGCUCACCAAGGCGACGAUACAUAGCCGACCUGAGAGGGUGAUCGCCCACACUGGGACUGAGACACGGCCCAGACUCCUACGGGAGGCAGCAGUAGGGAAUCUUCGGCAAUGGGGGCAACCCUGACCGAGCAACGCCGCGUGAGUGAAGAAGGUUUUCGGAUCGUAAAGCUCUGUUGUAAGAGAAGAACGAGUGUGAGAGUGGAAAGUUCACACUGUGACGGUAACUUACCAGAAAGGGACGGCUAACUACGUG
Molecule: ribosomal RNA, 497 nt
Filed under: uncultured bacterium
Lineage: Bacteria
Description: partial 16S ribosomal RNA
Rfam family: Bacterial small subunit ribosomal RNA
Source: RNAcentral